GAUCAUGGCUCAGAUUGAACGCUGGCGGAAUGCUUUACACAUGCAAGUCGAACGGCAGCACGGGGCAACCUGGUGGCGAGUGGCGAACGGGUGAGUAAUACAUCGGAACGUGCCCAAUCGUGGGGGAUAACGUAGCGAAAGUUACGCUAAUACCGCAUACGAUCUACGGAUGAAAGCGGGGGAUCGCAAGACCUCGCGCGAAUGGAGCGGCCGAUGUCAGAUUAGGUAGUUGGUGGGGUAAAGGCUCACCAAGCCAACGAUCUGUAGCUGGUCUGAGAGGACGACCAGCCACACUGGAACUGAGACACGGUCCAGACUCCUACGGGAGGCAGCAGUGGGGAAUUUUGGACAAUGGGCGCAAGCCUGAUCCAGCCAUUCCGCGUGCAGGAUGAAGGCCUUCGGGUUGUAAACUGCUUUUGUACGGAACGAAACGGCGAGCUCUAAUACAGUUUGCUAAUGACGGUACCGUAAGAAUAAGCACCGGCUAACUACGUG
This 495-nucleotide ribosomal RNA is filed under the name uncultured bacterium. Its description in RNAcentral is "bacterial SSU rRNA". It matches the Rfam family "Bacterial small subunit ribosomal RNA", at positions 15 to 507 of the family's 1533-position model. The record is from RNAcentral.